CCUACGGGUGGCAGCAGUGAGGAAUAUUGGUCAAUGGACGAGAGUCUGAACCAGCCAAGUAGCGUGAAGGAUGACUGCCCUAUGGGUUGUAAACUUCUUUUAUAUGGGAAUAAAAUGUUCCACGUGUGGGAUUUUGUAUGUACCAUAUGCAUAAGGAUCGGCUAACUCCGUGCCAGCAGCCGCGGUAAUAAGGAGGAUCCGAGCUUUAUCCGGAUUUAUUGGGUGUAAAGGGAGCGUAGGUGGAUUGUUAAGUCAGUUGUGAAAGUUUGCGGCGCAACCGUAAAAUUGCAGUUGAAACUGGCAGUCUUGAGUACAGUAGAGGUGGGCGGAAUUCGUGGUGUAGCGGUGAAAUGCUUAGAUAUCACGAAGAACUCCGAUUGCGAAGGCAGUUCACUGGACUGCAACUGACACUGAGGCUCGAAAGUGUGGGUAUCAAACAGGAUUAGAGACCCUAGUAGUC
This 460-nucleotide ribosomal RNA is filed under the name uncultured bacterium. RNAcentral's name for it is "partial 16S ribosomal RNA". It matches the Rfam family "Bacterial small subunit ribosomal RNA", at positions 338 to 795 of the family's 1533-position model. The record is from RNAcentral.